GACGAACGCUGGCGGCGUGCCUAACACAUGCAAGUCGAACGGAAAGGCCCUGCUUUUGUGGGGUGCUCGAGUGGCGAACGGGUGAGUAACACGUGAGUAACCUGCCCUUGACUUUGGGAUGACUUCAGGAAACUGGGGCUAAUACCGGAUAGGAGCUCCUGCUGCAUGGUGGGGGUUGGAAAGUUUCGGCGGUUGGGGAUGGACUCGCGGCUUAUCAGCUUGUUGGUGGGGUAGUGGCUUACCAAGGCUUUGACGGGUAGCCGGCCUGAGAGGGUGACCGGCCACAUUGGGACUGAGAUACGGCCCAGACUCCUACGGGAGGCAGCAGUGGGGAAUAUUGCACAAUGGGCGGAAGUCUGAUGCAGCAACGCCGCGUGCGGGAUGACGGCCUUCGGGUUGUAAACCGCUUUCGCCUGUGACGAAGCGUGAGUGACGGUAAUGGGUAAAGAAGCACCGGCUAACUACGUGCCAGCAGCCGCGGUGAUACGUAGGGUGCGAGCGUUGUCCGGAAUUAUUGGGCGUAAAGGGCUCGUAGGUGGUUGAUCGCGUCGGAAGUGUAAUCUUGGGGCUUAUUCCUGAGCGUGCUUUCGAUACGGGUUGACUUGAGGAGGGUAGGGGAGAAUGGAAUUCCUGGUGGAGCGGUGGAAUGCGCAGAUAUCAGGAGGAACACCAGUGGCGAAGGCGGUUCUCUGGGCCUUUCCUGACGCUGAGGAGCGAAAGCGUGGGGAGCGAACAGGCUUAGAUACCCUGGUAGUCCACGCUGUAAACGGUGGGUACUAGGUGUGGGGUCCAUUCCACGGGUUCCGUGCCGUAGCUAACGCUUUAAGUACCCCGCCUGGGGAGUACGGCCGCAAGGCUAAAACUCAAAGGAAUUGACGGGGCCCCGCACAAGCGGCGGAGCAUGCGGAUUAAUUCGAUGCAACGCGUAGAACCUUACCUGGGUUUGACAUGGAUCGGGAGCGCUCAGAGAUGGGUGUGCCUCUUUUGGGGUCGGUUCACAGGUGGUGCAUGGCUGUCGUCAGCUCGUGUCGUGAGAUGUUGGGUUAAGUCCCGCAACGAGCGCAACCCUUGUUCACUGUUGCCAGCACGUUAUGGUGGGGACUCAGUGGAGACCGCCGGGGUCAACUCGGAGGAAGGUGGGGAUGACGUCAAGUCAUCAUGCCCCUUAUGUCCAGGGCUUCACGCAUGCUACAAUGGCUGGUACAGAGAGUGGCGAGCCUGUGAGGGUGAGCGAAUCUCGGAAAGCCGGUCUCAGUUCGGAUUGGGGUCUGCAACUCGACCUCAUGAAGUCGGAGUCGCUAGUAAUCGCAGAUCAGCAACGCUGCGGUGAAUACGUUCCCGGGGCU
RNAcentral lists this ribosomal RNA (1346 nucleotides) under uncultured bacterium. RNAcentral's name for it is "bacterial SSU rRNA". It matches the Rfam family "Bacterial small subunit ribosomal RNA", at positions 28 to 1381 of the family's 1533-position model. The record is from RNAcentral.